This is a long non-coding RNA of Heterocephalus glaber (naked mole-rat), 609 nucleotides long. The record is from Ensembl. NCBI's taxonomy places the organism in Eukaryota, Metazoa, Chordata, Mammalia, Rodentia, Bathyergidae.
CCCGGCCUUUCUCCCUCUAACACCUUCUCUUUAACCCAAAACCAGCUUCCUGACCUUUUGAGCUCAUUCCCUAUCCACUUAGAACAGCUCCCUGUUCUCCUAAACCUAUGCCCCUCUAAAUCUUUCUUUAUCCAUUAUCUACCCUCUCUUCCUUCUUAUGACACUCUACCUGUCCCUGUCAUCGCCACUACUCCCUCUCUCUCGCCUACUUCCUGGUGUGUGCACCCAUUACCACCCCCCAGUCUAUAAAAAUGCAGGCCACAGGGAACGGAAACAAAAAAAAUUAAUACUCAGAAAGUGCUUGGAGCGGUGGCUUGCACUUGACUCUAGAAGUUCCUGGUACUACCAUCAUGAAGAAGAAGGAGGAGGAGGAGGAGUUGGAGUCAGAAUCUACUACCUUAAAAAAGUGACAGGCCCAAGAGAUUUUGCAGGUCUGAAAAGGUGACGGAGGUAUGAGACUAAAGGUUUUCUGGGAAUCCACAAGGAGCCCAACCUUCUCCCGGGAGAGAGAUGAGUGAAACAAGAAGAGAAGGAGAACACAGAAGUCCUGAGAGGAGAAAGAAUACGAACCUAAAACAAAACAAACAACCACUGGCAUCUCAGGAAAGG